GACGAACGCUGGCGGCGUGCCUAAUACAUGCAAGUCGAACGAAGCUUUUUUAACUGGUGCUUGCACCGACUUAAACAACUGAGUGGCGAACGGGUGAGUAACACGUGGGUAACCUGCCCCAAAGCGGGGGAUAACAUUUGGAAACAGAUGCUAAUACCGCAUAACCACAGAAACCACAUGGUUUCUGUGUCAAAGAUGGUUUCGGCUAUCACUUUGGGAUGGACCCGCGGCGUAUUAGCUAGUUGGUAAGGUAAUGGCUUACCAAGGCAAUGAUACGUAGCCAAACAGAGAGGUUGAUCGGACACAUGUGGACUGAGACACGGCCCAAACUCCUACGGGAGGCAGCAGUAGGGAAUCUUCCACAAUGGACGAAAGUCUGAUGGAGCAACGCCGCGUGAGUGAAGAAGGUUUUCGGAUCGUAAAACUCUGUUGUCAGAGAAGAACGUGUGCGAGAGUAACUGUUCGUGCAGUGACGGUAUCUGGCCAGAAAGCCACGGCUAACUACGUGCCAGCAGCCGCCGCGG
Molecule: ribosomal RNA, 524 nt
Filed under: uncultured bacterium
Lineage: Bacteria
Description: partial 16S ribosomal RNA
Rfam family: Bacterial small subunit ribosomal RNA
Source: RNAcentral